Molecule: ribosomal RNA, 893 nt
Filed under: uncultured organism
Description: bacterial SSU rRNA
Rfam family: Bacterial small subunit ribosomal RNA
Source: RNAcentral
CUCACAACGAACGUUAGACGGCGCGUUUUAAGCAUGCAAGUCGAACGGUAAGCAUCCUUCGGGAUGCCUAGAGUGGCGAACGGGUGAGUAACACGUAGGUGAUCUACCCGAGAGGUUGGGGAUAGCCUGUGGAAACACAGGGUAAUACCGAAUAUGUCCUGAGUGCUGUGGCACACAGGGCAAAGGUGCUUCGGCAUCGCCUCCGGAUGAGCCUGCGCCUGAUUAGCUAGUUGGUGGGGUAAGAGCCCACCAAGGCGACGAUCAGUAGCCGGCCUGAGAGGGUGAGCGGCCACACUGGGACUGAGAUACGGCCCAGACUCCUACGGGAGGCAGCAGCUAAGAAUCUUCCGCAAUGGACGAAAGUCUGACGGAGCGACGCCGCGUGGGUGAUGAAGGCCGUGAGGUUGUAAAGCCCUUUUCUGACUGAGGAAUAAGCACACGAGGCAAUGCGUGUGUGAUGACGGUAGGUCAGGAAUAAGCCCCGGCCAAUUACGUGCCAGCAGCCGCGGUAACACGUAUGGGGCGAGCGUUGUUCGGAAUCAUUGGGCGUAAAGGGCGCGCAGGCGGUUGUGCAAGCCUGGUGUGAAAGACCGCAGCUUAACUGCGGGAACGCGCUGGGAACUGCAUGACUUGAGUUCAGGAGGGGAAGCUGGAAUUCCUGGUGUAGGGGUGAAAUCUGUAGAUAUCAGGAAGAACAUCAGUGGCGAAGGCGAGCUUCUGGCCAUGAACUGACGCUGAGGCGCGAAAGCGUGGGGAGCAAACAGGAUUAGAUACCCUGGUAGUCCACGCUGUAAACGAUGUGCACUAGGUGUUGGGUCGCUGAAGACUCAGUGCCGCAGCUAACGCGUUAAGUGCACCGCCUGGGGAGUAUGCCCGCAAUGGUGAAACUCAAA